This 272-nucleotide ribosomal RNA is filed under the name uncultured bacterium. Its description in RNAcentral is "partial 16S ribosomal RNA". It matches the Rfam family "Bacterial small subunit ribosomal RNA", at positions 88 to 354 of the family's 1533-position model. The record is from RNAcentral.
CCGGCGACCGGCGCACGGGUGAGUAACACGUAUGCAACCUGCCCUCCGCAGGGGGAUAACCCGGAGAAAUCCGGACUAAUACCGCGUGGUACACCAGUGGGGCAUCCCACGGGUGUUAAAAGGAAGCGAUUCCGGCGGAGGAUGGGCAUGCGGCGCAUUAGCUUGUUGGCGGGGUAACGGCCCACCAAGGCGACGAUGCGUAGGGGUUCUGAGAGGAAGGUCCCCCCACACUGGUACUGAGACACGGACCAGACUCCUACGGGAGGCAGCAG